UUAGAGUUUUUGAUCAUGGGCUCAGGACGAACGCUGGCGGCGUGCCUAAUACAUGCAAGUCGAGCGCAGGAAGCCGUCUGAACCCUUCGGGGGGACGACGGUGGAAUGAGCGGCGGACGGGUGAGUAACACGUAAAGAACCUGCCCAUAGGUCUGGGAUAACCACGAGAAAUCGGGGCUAAUACCGGAUGUGUCAUCGGACCGCAUGGUCCGCUGAUGAAAGGCGCUUCGGCGUCGCCCAUGGAUGGCUUUGCGGUGCAUUAGCUAGUUGGUGGGGUAACGGCCCACCAAGGCGACGAUGCAUAGCCGACCUGAGAGGGUGAUCGGCCACACUGGGACUGAGACACGGCCCAGACUCCUACGGGAGGCAGCAGUAGGGAAUCUUCCACAAUGGACGAAAGUCUGAUGGAGCAACGCCGCGUGAACGAUGAAAGGCUUUCGGGUCGUAAAGUUCUGUUUGUAAGGGGAAAGAAACAAGUUGCCCGCCAGGCAAUGGGCGGCACCCUUGACGGGUUACCCUUUGCGAAGAAAAGCCCACGGCUAACUUACGUUGCCC
RNAcentral lists this ribosomal RNA (555 nucleotides) under Exiguobacterium sp. SP16. RNAcentral's name for it is "bacterial SSU rRNA". It matches the Rfam family "Bacterial small subunit ribosomal RNA", at positions 1 to 510 of the family's 1533-position model. Lineage: Bacteria; Bacillati; Bacillota; Bacilli; Caryophanales. The record is from RNAcentral.